UCCUGGCUCAGAUUGAACGCUGGCGGCAUGCCUUACACAUGCAAGUCGAACGGCAGCGGACCUUCGGGUGCCGGCGAGUGGCGAACGGUGAGUAAUAUAUCGGAACGUACCUUCAGGUGGGGGAUAACGUAGCGAAAGUUACGCUAAUACCGCAUAUUCUGUGAGCAGGAAAGCAGGGGAUCGCAAGACCUUGCGCUGAUUGAGCGGCCGAUAUCAGAUUAGCUAGUUGGUGAGGUAAAGGCUCACCAAGGCGACGAUCUGUAGCGGGUCUGAGAGGAUGAUCCGCCACACUGGAACUGAGACACGGUCCAGACUCCUACGGGAGGCAGCAGUGGGGAAUUUUGGACAAUGGGCGCAAGCCUGAUCCAGCCAUGCCGCGUGAGUGAAGAAGGCCUUCGGGUUGUAAAGCUCUUUCGGCCGGGAAGAAAUCGCACAGGUUAAUACCCUGUGUGGAUGACGGUACCGGAAUAAGAAGCACCGGCUAACUACGUG
RNAcentral lists this ribosomal RNA (492 nucleotides) under uncultured bacterium. RNAcentral's name for it is "bacterial SSU rRNA". It matches the Rfam family "Bacterial small subunit ribosomal RNA", at positions 17 to 507 of the family's 1533-position model. The record is from RNAcentral.